This is a long non-coding RNA of Neomonachus schauinslandi (Hawaiian monk seal), 328 nucleotides long. RefSeq lists it as uncharacterized. NCBI's taxonomy places the organism in Eukaryota, Metazoa, Chordata, Mammalia, Carnivora, Phocidae. The transcript is spliced from 3 exons. The record is from RefSeq and is a predicted model, not a curated record.
UCAAAAAAAUACUGAAUGAGCAGCUAGAGUCAGGAUGCAAACCCAGAUCUGGCUGACCCUACAACCUUGAGCUUCCUUCCCAACCUUCCUUGGAGACAACCUCUGCUAAUGGUCCUGAAGGAUCAGAAGACAAACUGAACACAUCUGCAAUUAUCUGGAUUUAGCCCCAAUGGUUUUAUGCAAAAACUCUGAAUGCAUUUAAGGUUUAUGUAUUGUGAAGGCGCCACAUUCAGUUCUCCAUUCUGGGAUAUCUUCAGUCAUUGGACUCUGAGGAAUUUGAAGAGCUUACCAAGGCACUUCAUUUUGUUAAAUGCUCCCAGUGAGCCUU